GCCGAGGAGCGGAGCCACAAGGCCCCUUGGGAUUCCGCGGGGUGAGAUCUUUCUGGAAGCCGUGCUGAGAGGGGGCCGGACGGAAGAGCGAGCCGGGGAGAAUCUGGGCAGACAGACAGACCCCCCGGGCAGGUGUGACUCUGCAGAGGAAAUGAAGUUGGUCCUCGGGCUCCUGCUGUCCAUGGCAUGGGCAGUGCUCCAAGCAAACAUCACCCUGACUGGAAAGCAAAUAUUUCUGACGUGUCAUGUGUGUGAGGAGGUCAAUACUUUUACCUGCAAGAAUCCAGAGAAGUGCAAUGUAGGAGAUGCAUUCUGCAUCACCGUGGGUACCAGGCUGACCAAUCGCUACUUGCUUGUUUCCAAGCAGUGUCAUAAAUUGUGCCCAUUUUUGGAUUACUAUUAUCAAAAGUUUUCAUACGAGAAAGAAUUUCCGAGUGCUUUUGUCUAUUCCCAUUGUUGUGCUGAGAAUUUAUGCAACUUUGGCAUCCCCUUCACCUCAGAGGGGGACACAGACAUCUAUGGCCAGAAUAAUUUAGUAGGCGUUGCCCAUCAGAGGGUCAGCAACACAGGGCUGGUGAUAGUUCUAAGCUUCCUGCCUGCCCUGCUUCAGGUUAGCUUGUGACCUGGAUCCUCCAUCUCACAGAGCCCUAAAAAUGGUCAUCACACUCAUUCCCUAGCAACAAUGCUUUUUAACAGCCAUGUCCUAUUGGAGAGGUCAUAAACCCUAUAAUUUUAUAGCCUUCUCUCCUCUCCCCCCUUUCACUUCCACUCCCAUGCUGUCAAGGCAUUAAUAGGGAAGGGUGGGCUGAAAGCAAAAGCCAUUGCUUAAAUGUUAAUAAAAGUAAAUAUUUUUGGAUUGAAACUGGGUCUUCUUGAGAAAAUUUUACUCAUCUUCUGUUUCUCUUACUUGCCUAACAUGGAUUGCAAUUUGUCAAUUCUUAUUUGAGUGUGUGUCGAGAGUAGAAGCUCUAUAGGGCAGGAACCCUGUCUAUUUACAUUGUGUCUCUUCCCUUUCUUUUUCUCCCCUCACACUCAAUACAUGGGCAUGAUAUGAUAGCAAUCCAUUUUUCUUUGAGGGUAGAAAGACUGAAAAGAAUGAGAAAAUCUGGAUUAAAGUUCAAGCUACAACACUAGUUCACCAUUAGAACUUGGGUAUGCAACUUCCCUUAUACUUACUUCAGUUUCCCCAUUGUUAAAUAAGGAGAUUGGAGUCACUGAUCUGUAAGGACCCUUCCAACUAUAA
This 1243-nucleotide long non-coding RNA is filed under the name Sarcophilus harrisii (Tasmanian devil). RNAcentral's name for it is "lncRNA (ENSSHAG00000028998.1)". Lineage: Eukaryota; Metazoa; Chordata; Mammalia; Dasyuromorphia; Dasyuridae. The record is from RNAcentral.